RNAcentral lists this unclassified non-coding RNA (269 nucleotides) under Melitaea cinxia (Glanville fritillary). RNAcentral describes it as "misc RNA ENSMCXG00005020805.1". The record is from RNAcentral. Lineage: Eukaryota; Metazoa; Arthropoda; Insecta; Lepidoptera; Nymphalidae.
UUACUUUACACUGCAAUCCAAGUCCACUUAGGCACGAACACUUAGUUUUCACUAUUCACUAUUCACAACUUCACAAGUAACUAUACUGUCUUUAGCACUUACUUUCUUCUUUCCCGGGUUUCGGCACCAGAAUGUUGCUGCGUAAUACUUCACUUCACUCACUCACUCUAAAUAAUACACCUCUGCUGUUGGAACUGUUUUAUUGAAAUUAAACUUGACCUAUAUAUUACAUUUUAAAGAAAACGUUCGCGCGAUUUAAUUGCAUUGUA